GGGCCCAUAGCUCAGCUGGGAGAGCGCUUGACUGGCAGUCAAGAGGUCGUCGGUUCGAUCCCGAUUGGGUCCACCA
RNAcentral lists this transfer RNA (76 nucleotides) under Oligoflexia bacterium. RNAcentral describes it as "tRNA-Ala". It matches the Rfam family "tRNA". From Rfam's summary of the family: Transfer RNA (tRNA) molecules are approximately 80 nucleotides in length. Their secondary structure includes four short double-helical elements and three loops (D, anti-codon, and T loops). The record is from RNAcentral. Lineage: Bacteria; Pseudomonadati; Bdellovibrionota; Oligoflexia.